GAUUAGCUAGUUGGUGGGGUAACGGCUCACCAAGGCGACGAUCAGUAGCUGGUCUGAGAGGAUGAUCAGCCUCACUGGGACUGAGACACGGCCCAGACUCCUACGGGAGGCAGCAGUGGGGAAUAUUGGACAAUGGGAGCAAGCCUGAUCCAGCCAUGCCGCGUGGGUGAAUGAAGGCCCUAGGGUUGUAAAGCCCUUUUCGGCGGGGAAGAUAAUGACGGUACCCGCAGAAGAAGCCCCGGCUAACUUCGUGCCAGCAGCCGCGGUAAUACGAAGGGGGCUAGCGUUGCUCGGAAUCACUGGGCGUAAAGCGCACGUAGGCGGAUUGUUAAGUCAGGGGUGAAAUCCUGGAGCUCAACUCCAGAACUGCCUUUGAUACUGACGGUCUUGAGUCCGGGAGAGGUGAGUGGAACUGCGAGUGUAGAGGUGAAAUUCGUAGAUAUUCGCAAGAACACCAGUGGCGAAGGCGGCUCACUGGCCCGGUACUGACGCUGAGGUGCGAAAGCGUGGGGAG
This 514-nucleotide ribosomal RNA is filed under the name uncultured bacterium. RNAcentral's name for it is "bacterial SSU rRNA". It matches the Rfam family "Bacterial small subunit ribosomal RNA", at positions 239 to 768 of the family's 1533-position model. The record is from RNAcentral.